RNAcentral lists this ribosomal RNA (492 nucleotides) under uncultured bacterium. Its description in RNAcentral is "partial 16S ribosomal RNA". It matches the Rfam family "Bacterial small subunit ribosomal RNA", at positions 29 to 507 of the family's 1533-position model. The record is from RNAcentral.
AGUGAACGCUGGCGGUAGGCCUAACACAUGCAAGUCGAACGGCAGCACAGUAAGAGCUUGCUCUUACGGGUGGCGAGUGGCGGACGGGUGAGGAAUACAUCGGAAUCUACUUUUUCGUGGGGGAUAACGUAGGGAAACUUACGCUAAUACCGCAUACGACCUACGGGUGAAAGCAGGGGAUCUUCGUACCUUGCGCGAUUGAAUGAGCCGAUGUCGGAUUAGCUAGUUGGCGGGGUAAAGGCCCACCAAGGCGACGAUCCGUAGCUGGUCUGAGAGGAUGAUCAGCCACACUGGAACUGAGACACGGUCCAGACUCCUACGGGAGGCAGCAGUGGGGAAUAUUGGACAAUGGGCGCAAGCCUGAUCCAGCCAUACCGCGUGGGUGAAGAAGGCCCUCGGGUUGUAAAGCCCUUUUGUUGGGAAAGAAAAGCAGCAGGUUAAUACCCCGCUGUUCUGACGGUACCCAAAGAAUAAGCACCGGCUAACUUCGUG